Molecule: long non-coding RNA, 386 nt
Organism: Mya arenaria
Lineage: Eukaryota; Metazoa; Mollusca; Bivalvia; Myida; Myidae
Exons: 2
Source: RefSeq, a predicted model, not a curated record
GGGAAAUCCAAUCAAAAAAACCCUGACCCUCAAGCAGCUACUGUAUUUGACCAGCUCACACCAGCUAGGCCUCCUCCAAAACUCAGAUAAAUAUUUGAGCCACCAAAACAAAACGAGAACAGAUCGGUCAGAAUCGUUAAGAACUGAAGCUAACAUCAUAGAGGUACAUCCUUCCAAGAAUCCAUCAAAACAACAUGCUGAACAACUUCAAGAACUCUCUUCAAAAGACCACACUUUCCUGAAAAAUAAAAGAUGCCAAUAUUAAAAUAAAUCAGUUACAUGUAUUGUUAAAUAUUUUAAUACUAGCUGUAAAUGCUACUGCCUUUGAUGUUUGCUUUCUACAUGUAUAUCAUAAUGAAAUAUUGACAAGAUAAUAGCUAAUGUUU